Molecule: ribosomal RNA, 519 nt
Filed under: Triticum aestivum (bread wheat)
Lineage: Eukaryota; Viridiplantae; Streptophyta; Magnoliopsida; Poales; Poaceae
Description: partial small subunit ribosomal RNA
Source: RNAcentral
AUGCUCGUGCUCCUAGGGGCAGAUUCAAUCAACGACAGUGAGGGGGACAUUCAACAAGUCCAUGCCAUCUCUCGACCAGCUCUCGACGGUGGCGUUUCGCCCAAAGCUUUCCAGCUAUUGGCCACCAUGCAUGAUAGAGAGGUGCUGAUCUUGGUGGACAGUGGUAGUUCGACAUCUUUCAUCAACAAGAAGCUGGCUGAUCAACUGACGGGUUCGGCUCCGUUGCCUCGACCCUCACGGGUUAAGGUGGCUGAUGGUGGCGAACUCCUCUGCACAGAGUCCAUACCGUUCUGUCAGUGGUCAUCGCAAGGGCUCGAUUCCGUCAUUGAUAUGAAAAUCCUACCGCUGGGAGUCUAUGAUGCUAUACUUGGGAUGGAUUGGUUAGAGCAACACAGCCCCAUGACAGUCGACUGGAAGAACAAGCACCUGCAAAUCCCUACACCUAAGGGUCCGGCUCACUUAUUUGGUCAUGAAUCAAAUUCAACCACUUGUCAUGUGAUCAAUAGUGCUCAACUAUAG